RNAcentral lists this ribosomal RNA (1434 nucleotides) under metagenome. Its description in RNAcentral is "bacterial LSU rRNA". It matches the Rfam family "Bacterial large subunit ribosomal RNA", at positions 1507 to 2925 of the family's 2925-position model. The record is from RNAcentral.
UGUCUCCAGAACUCAUCUGUGUUUUUGAGGCAAAUCCUUGCAUUAUAGAUCCCUGAUGAAGGACGGGGACUGUGCAGCGAUGCAUGGGAACUUGGAGGAGCCGUACUGCCAAGAAAGAGCCGCUCAGGGAGGUUAUUUGUUGCCCGUACCGGAAACCGACACAGGUGGACGAGGGUAGUACCCAAAGGCGCACAAGAGAACCCCUGUUAAGGAACUCGGCAAAAUGCACGUGUAACUUCGGGAUAAGCGUGGCCUCAAGUAGGUGAUGGGGAGAAACCGAAGCUGAAAGAGGUUGCAAAAAAGAGGCUCUGGCGACUGUUUACCAAAAACACAGAUCUCUGCUAAGACUUAAGUCUAAGUAUAGGGAUUGAGACCUGCCCGGUGCCAGAAGGUUAAAGAAGGGGGUCAACGGGGUAACCCGUGAAGCUCUUGACUGAAGCCCUGGUAAACGGCGGCUGUAACAAUAACAGUCCUAAGGUAGCGAAAUUCCUUGUCGGGUAAGUUCCGACCUGCAUGAAUGGUAUAACGACUGGAGCGCUGUCUCAACAGGGGACUUGGUGAAAUUGAAGUAUCGGUGCAAAUACCGAUUACCCGCAGCUAGGCGGUAAGACCCUGUGAACCUUUACUGUACCCUGGCAUUGUAUUCUGGCACGUUCUGUGUAGGAUAGGUGGGAGGCUAUGAAGCGUGGGCGCCAGCUUGCGUGGAGCCAACCUUGAAAUACCACCCUUAACGUGUCGGACUACUAACGGAUGCUGUGGAAGCAUCUAGACAGUGUCAGGCGGGCAGUUUGACUGGGGCGGUCACCCCCCAAAGUGUAACGGAGGUGUACGAAGGUUCCCUCGAGCUGUAUAGAAAUCAGCUGAAAGAGCGUAAAGGUAUAAGGGAGCUUGACUGCGAGAGAGACAUCUCGAGCAGGGACGAAAGUCGGUCUUAGUGAUCCGGUGGUUUUUGUAUGGAAAAGCCAUCGCUUAACGGACAAAAGGUACUCCGGGGAUAACAGGCUGAUACCGCCCAAGAGUUCACAUCGACGGCGGUGUUUGGCACCUCGAUGUCGGCUCAACUCAUCCUGGGGCUGAAGUAGGUCCCAAGGGUUCGGCUGUUCGCCGAUUAGAGAGUUACGUGAGCUGGGUUCAGAACGUCGUGAGACAGUUCGGUCCCUAUCUACUGUGGGCGCUGGAUAUUUGAGGGGAGCUGUUCCUAGUACGAGAGGAUCGGAAUGGACGUACCUCUGGUGCACCAGUUGUCGUGCCAACGGCACAGCUGGGUAGCUAUGUACGGAAGGGAUAACCACUGAAAGCAUCUAAGUGGGAAGCCUCCCCCAAGAUUAGAUAUCCCUUAAGGUUCCAGGUAGACUACCUGGUUGAUAGGUCGCAGGUGUAAGUACAGUAAUGUACUCAGCCGAGCGAUACUAAUAAACCGUUUGACUUGCCCCG